AGCAGACAUUCCUGCGCCAAGAACCUGCAUACAAUCCAGAUAAACGUUGAUACAAAUCCAAGGACACUAGAAUCCUCAUUUUAGGUAAUCAUAGCAGCUGAACUUAUUCAUGAAAGUCAUAAAACUUUUAUAAGGCAUAGACACAGAAAUUUGAACACUAAGGUUAAGUUUCUGGUUCUCCAUUUUUAUGAAUGUGGCAACCUUGGAGAAGCAUUUAGCAGCCUAGGGCAAUGAACAAAGAUUUUCACCUCACAUGGGCUAAAUCACAAUGAAACUUGAAGCAUGAUCAGUCAGAUACAUGUUUAUGGGGUUUAUAUUGAUCAGUCACACAAACAAAAGGUGUCAACAUCAAUCAAGAAAUUGCUUUCAACUUAGGCACUGAUUUCUAAGUUUUUUAAGGUGACUAGGUGUUCCAGUUAUGGACAGGCAUUUUCUUUUCACCAAUUUCUAACUUUGAUAAAACAAUUGAUUAUUUUCUAAUUUCAAAAAAAAAUAUUAUCAGUUUAUAGAUGCAGCACCCUAAAAAAUUUAAAAAGGAAAAAAAAGAAAAACUAGAGAACAU
RNAcentral lists this unclassified non-coding RNA (562 nucleotides) under Hevea brasiliensis (rubber tree). Lineage: Eukaryota; Viridiplantae; Streptophyta; Magnoliopsida; Malpighiales; Euphorbiaceae. The record is from RNAcentral.